GGAACAAACAUUGAGCGAGGAUACACGUUCCGAGGUUCCUCACGAUGUCUCCUCUCUGGAUCUUCCGCACUAGCUGUAAAGCUGCACCGAGCAACGGCGCAGAAAUGUAUGAUGUUUUACGAAUCCGUUAAUUCAGUAAUCAGAAAGUACCAUAGCUGUAAGUAGCUAUGCACGUCUCGACCGCUACCUAAUCAGAACGCCACGCUAACUACGUGCCCGCAGCCGCGGUAAUACGUAGGUGGCAAGCGUUAUCUGAAUUAUUGGGCGUAAGCGCGCGUAGGCCGUUUUUUAAGUCUGAUGUGAAAGCCCACGGCUUCAACCCGUGGAGGGUCAUUGGAAACUGGAAAACUUGAGUGCAGAAGAGGAAAGUGGAAUUCCAUGUGUAGCGGUGAAAUGCGCAGAGAUAUGGAGGAACACCAGUGGCGAAGGCGACUUUCUGGUCUGUAACUGACGCUGAUGUGCGAAAGCGUGGGGAUCAAACAGGAUUAGAUACCCUGGUAGUCCACGCCGUAAACGAUGAGUGCUAAGUGUUAGGGGGUUUCCGCCCCUUAGUGCUGCAGCUAACGCAUUAAGCACUCCGCCUGGGGAGUACGACCGCAAGGUUGAAACUCAAAGGAAUUGACGGGGACCCGCACAAGCGGUGGAGCAUGUGGUUUAAUUCGAAGCAACGCGAAGAACCUUACCAAAUCUUGACAUCCUCUGACCCCUCUAGAGAUAGAGUUUUCCCCUUCGGGGGACAGAGUGACAGGUGGUGCAUGGUUGUCGUCAGCUCGUGUCGUGAGAUGUUGGGUUAAGUCCCGCAACGAGCGCAACCCUUAAGCUUAGUUGCCAUCAUUAAGUUGGGCACUCUAAGUUGACUGCCGGUGACAAACCGGAGGAAGGUGGGGAUGACGUCAAAUCAUCAUGCCCCUUAUGAUUUGGGCUACACACGUGCUACAAUGGACAAUACAAAGGGCAGCGAAACCGCGAGGUCAAGCAAAUCCCAUAAAGUUGUUCUCAGUUCGGAUUGUAGUCUGCAACUCGACUAUAUGAAGCUGGAAUCGCUAGUAAUCGUAGAUCAGCAUGCUACGGUGAAUACGUUCCCGGGUCUUGUACACACCGCCCGUCACACCACGAGAGUUUGUAACACCCGAAGCCGGUGGAGUAACCAUUUGGAGCUAGCCGUCGUAAGGUGGGACAAAUGAUUGGGGUGAAGUCGUAAUCAUAGAGACAACCCG
This 1217-nucleotide ribosomal RNA is filed under the name Staphylococcus sp. Its description in RNAcentral is "bacterial SSU rRNA". It matches the Rfam family "Bacterial small subunit ribosomal RNA", at positions 301 to 1507 of the family's 1533-position model. Lineage: Bacteria; Bacillati; Bacillota; Bacilli; Caryophanales; Staphylococcaceae. The record is from RNAcentral.